CUAACAAGGAUUCCCCUAGUAACUGCGAGUGAAGCGGGAAAAGCUCAAAUUUAAAAUCUGGCAGUCUUUGGCUGUCCGAGUUGUAAUCUAGAGAAGUAUUAUCCGCGCUGGACCGUGUACAAGUCUCCUGGAAUGGGGCGUCAUAGAGGGUGAGAAUCCCGUCUUUGACACGGACUGCCAGGGCUUUGUGAUGUGCUCUCAAAGAGUCGAGUUGUUUGGGAAUGCAGCUCAAAAUGGGUGGUAAAUUCCAUCUAAAGCUAAAUAUUGGCGAGAGACCGAUAGCGAACAAGUACCGUGAGGGAAAGAUGAAAAGAACUUUGGAAAGAGAGUUAAACAGUACGUGAAAUUGCUGAAAGGGAAACGCUUGAAGUCAGUCGCGUUGGCCAGGGAUCAACCUUGCUUUUUUGCUUGGCUUACUUUCUGGUCGAUGGGUCAGCAUCAAUUUUGACCGGUGGAAAAAGUUCAAGGGAAUGUGGCAUCUUCGGAUGUGUUAUAGCCUUUGUUCGCAUACAUUGGUUGGGAUUGAGGAACUCAGCACGCCGCAAGGCCGGGUUUUUAACCACGUACGUGCUUAGGAUGCUGGCAUAAUGGCUUUAAUCGACCCGUCUUGAAACACGGACCAAGGAGUCUAACAUGCCUGCGAGUGUUUGGGUGAAAAACCCGAGCGCGUAAUGAAAGUGAAAGUUGAGAUCCCUGUCGUAGGGAGCAUUGACGCCCGGAUCUGACCUUUUGUGACGAUUCUGCGGUAGAGCAUGUAUGUUGGGACCCGAAAGAUGGUGAACUAUGCCUGAAUAGGGUGAAGCCAGAGGAAACUCUGGUGGAGGCUCGUAGCGAUUCUGACGUGCAAAUCGAUCGUCAAAUUUGGGUAUAGGGGCGAAAGACUAAUCGAACC
RNAcentral lists this ribosomal RNA (892 nucleotides) under Laccaria amethystina. Its description in RNAcentral is "eukaryotic LSU rRNA". It matches the Rfam family "Eukaryotic large subunit ribosomal RNA", at positions 65 to 941 of the family's 3401-position model. Lineage: Eukaryota; Fungi; Basidiomycota; Agaricomycetes; Agaricales; Hydnangiaceae. The record is from RNAcentral.